Cervus elaphus (red deer) is the source of this 979-nucleotide long non-coding RNA. RefSeq lists it as uncharacterized. The transcript has 7 exons. The record is from RefSeq and is a predicted model, not a curated record. NCBI's taxonomy places the organism in Eukaryota, Metazoa, Chordata, Mammalia, Artiodactyla, Cervidae.
UGAAAAAGAAAGAUAAUGAUGAUCUGUGUGUUUGGAAGUCCAGAGGGACUGUUGGUGACAGAGCUCGUGGGGUCCCUGGGAGGACCAAGAACACAACCAAUCUUCCUCCGAAAAGGUAGGAGUGGGCAGAGGAAGGCAUGAAGAGUGGCUGCACUUCUACAUCUGAAGGUCAGAACACGAGAUCAAGCAACAUGUCUUUGCCAUUUUAAAUCGACAGCCUUCGAACCCCCAGAAGCGUUAACAUCAGAGGGCAAGACAGGAAACAAAGAACAAGCAUGUCGGCUGUGUGCUGAAUGGAAGAGCACCUCGCAGGAUCCUGGCUUUCUGCUUCUCUUGCCACAUACAAACUUUCAGAUCCUGAAACAUUACGUGGGUUGAAGGGAAUUGCUCUGCAGCACCUGAACUGUCAGCUUGGAGGUGGGUAGCUGAGGUGACUUGGCAGGACCUGCCUGUAAACAUCGGUUGUCAGCUCAUUCGCAAGGCUCAGCCAAAUAGAAGUGCGAGAUUUUGGCUUGGAUUUCACACUGAUGUUUCACAGAAAGGCAGCUCUGGUUCCAGGGCACCAGUAAAGAUUUCAACCCAUGUAUCUGCAGAAAAUUGCCAGAAACUGUCACAAAAUGAAAAAUGAGAGAAAGCCUGAUGGUCCUGCUAGGUUUCUAUAAGACACAGCAACACUAAAACUCAUCUCAUUAGAACAGAUUUUGUGAAAAUGAGAAAGGACAUUUCUAAACCAAGUGCUUUUCCUCUGAAUAAGAUUUAACCCAAAAUGAGGUUUGGGACUGGAAGAAGUGAUAACUUGGAAGAAAAGAUGUACAGAAGGAGUGCUUCCCCUGGAGUCUGUGUUCAAGUUCCUCCUCUAGUACUGCUUUGCAAGCCAUGUGGGAAAAGGGGAUGAAGGGAUGUAAACUUCAUGAAAGAAGAGGACUAUACUUUUUACCUCCAAAUAUGCCCAGAAUACUCAGUCAGCAUGUGGUGAAUG